CCGGAAGUCAGCUGCGCUCAGGUCAGCUCUCCUGCUCUGGGGCUUUAACCAAAGCAACGCGGAGUUCUUCUCUCGGGAUGGAAAACAAAUUCCUUGGAAUACCGGUCAGCUUGCUCACCGGCAGCUGUCUCCAGUCUCACCUCCGGAGCAGAAUGCCCUUCUGACGUUCCCGAGAACACACCAAAGGCCACUUCUGCAGACUUGGAAACACUGACUGUCUUCUACACUAGCACUACCCAAUGGGAACCUGUGCCCAAGGCAGACAGACCCCACACCGAGGCCUGCUAUGCCUUCUUGCUUUACGGUCUCCUCUUUUCCUCCUUCUCCGCCUCCUCUCCCAGGGUCCCAUGUAGCUCAGGUUUGCCUCCAAUUUUGCUUCGUGGGUAAGGAUAACUUUGAACCCCUUAUCUUCCUCCUGCUGUCUCCCAUGCAGUUGGCUGAGGGGCAUGCCCCCUGCACAUUUUCAUGCAGAUUUUGGACCACAAGAGUUUGUAAUUUUCUAAUGUAGUUUUUGUGAGAGAAGAUUCAAGGGCAUUAAAAAAAAAAAAA
RNAcentral lists this long non-coding RNA (549 nucleotides) under Rattus norvegicus (Norway rat). RNAcentral's name for it is "long non-coding RNA NONRATT027962". Lineage: Eukaryota; Metazoa; Chordata; Mammalia; Rodentia; Muridae. The record is from RNAcentral.